AAUUAAAAACCAUAUGUCACAUUGUUUUACAAGCCAUAACUUGUAUUGUAUGAAAAUCCUUCUUGUCGAUCUCGCAACGGAGGCGUGGCUUAUUUUCCUUAUUUGGAAAACCGAUUCAACAGGAAGCUUGAAACCCACAUGUUUUGAACGGACGGAUUGUUUUUGUUGCAUGAGGCGAAGAAUGGCCUAUGUACCCAAGGAUUUCAGCAUAAAAGCAGAAUCGUACGACAUAACUUGACUAUGAGUUCAAGAUGACAAUGAUGAGAACAAAGAUAAGCCUAACACGUACAUUGCAAUAAGUGUCUGUGACUGCAGAAUGUAUGAACAGUUGGUAAUCCACAAGCUUUGUGUCAAAAUACGUCUUUUUUAACACAUAUUCUAUCGUCAUCCAGAAAACAUGGAAAACAAUGUGUUCAGGGCAAUAUAACUUUUUGAAAUGGAAUAAAGUAAACUUUCCAACCAGAUAUUCCACAGUGUGAUCAUGGUGAUGUCAAACAGCAUGUUAAAAAUGGUUAAAAAAAAUCUAGUAAGAUUCAGCUUAAAGGUUAAAGGAGGAACCAGUUAUUGACACCCACCAUUUCUUGCCUGUUUUUCUGGAGAGAAAGAAAACCCUCCAUUAAUAGAAUGCAGAAAGUGAAAGAUAUGGCUAAUUGACUGUUUAAUUUUAAAAUUAAUGGAACCUACAGAUGGAAACGUGUGUAAAGCAAAAACUUCAUUCAAUCUAUAAAGUAAUUCAACAUCUUGUAGCAGCCUCGUAGAGAUCGUUCUACAGCCAUACAGGUUGAUCUAAAGUGAACAGAUCUAACUUUCAACACAGAGAUUAAUCUAAACAAGUACGAUUUGAUCAAAAAAGAAUUUGUACACAUAUACAUUGUAUAUGUAUAGUGGAAAAAAUUACAUGUGCAAUUAAUUACAAACAGAAAACCAACAUAAAAGGGCUAAAAGUUAUAGAUAUCUGUAAAUUUACAUAAGAACAGCAGUAUCAACAUUUGAACAGUAACUUCAUCCAUUAAAUUUUUGUCAAGCUUGUGUAUCAAAACAUUAAUUUGAUUAAAUAUUUCUUUUUA
This is a long non-coding RNA of Mytilus californianus (California mussel), 1067 nucleotides long. RefSeq lists it as uncharacterized. NCBI's taxonomy places the organism in Eukaryota, Metazoa, Mollusca, Bivalvia, Mytilida, Mytilidae. The transcript has 2 exons. The record is from RefSeq and is a predicted model, not a curated record.